This is a non-coding RNA of Pelobates cultripes (western spadefoot toad), 440 nucleotides long. Lineage: Eukaryota; Metazoa; Chordata; Amphibia; Anura; Pelobatidae. The record is from the annotation of a GenBank genome assembly.
CAUCACAGCAGUAAAGUCUGAGAUACAGCAGGUAACUGCCAGGCUACACACCUCAGAGGCAGACAUAACCUCACUGAAACAGGGCAUAGAUAACCUCGGGGACACAGUUCAACACCUCAGCUCCUCUUACUCACACUUAUCGAGCCGAAUGGAGCAAUUAGAAGACAGAAGUAGGAGUAAAAACAUCAAGAUACUGGGAGUCGCUGACAUGCUCCCCCCCCGAUGAACUACCACAUUUUGUCCGGCGACUGGUCGCCUUCCUACUAGCGACACGAUCGGUCAAGCAAUUCGCCUUUGAAGGUGUGUACCGCAUCGCUAAAUCCCCCCAAGCGCCCACCACCUCAACCCGAGACAUCAUCUUAUGUUGCCAGUCUUAUGCAGAUAAGCAAAGGAUCUUCACGGCUCUGAAGGGGAAAACACCAUUAAAAUUUGAAUCAUUU